AUUGAACGCUGGCGGUAGGCCUAACACAUGCAAGUCGAACGCGAAAGUCCUUCGGGAUGAGUAGAGUGGCGGACGGGUGAGUAACGCGUAGGAAUCUAUCCUGUAGUGGGGGAUAACGUUUCGAAAGGAACGCUAAUACCGCAUACGCCCCAAGGGGGAAAGCGGGGGAUCUUCGGACCUCGUGCUAUAGGAGGAGCCUGCGUCGGAUUAGCUAGUUGGUGAGGUAAAGGCUCACCAAGGCGACGAUCCGUAGCUGGUCUGAGAGGAUGAUCAGCCACACCGGAACUGAGACACGGUCCGGACUCCUACGGGAGGCAGCAGUGGGGAAUAUUGCGCAAUGGGCGAAAGCCUGACGCAGCCAUUCCGCGUGCAGGAUGAAGGCCUUCGGGUUGUAAACUGCUUUUGUACGGAACGAAACGGUCUGCCCUAAUACGGCGGGCUAAUGACGGUACCGUAAGAAUAAGCACCGGCUAACUACGUG
RNAcentral lists this ribosomal RNA (481 nucleotides) under uncultured bacterium. RNAcentral's name for it is "bacterial SSU rRNA". It matches the Rfam family "Bacterial small subunit ribosomal RNA", at positions 30 to 507 of the family's 1533-position model. The record is from RNAcentral.